AUUGAACGCUGGCGGCAGGCCUAACACAUGCAAGUCGAACGAGUGGCGGACGGGUGAGUAAUGUCUGGGAAACUGCCUGAUGGAGGGGGAUAACUACUGGAAACGGUAGCUAAUACCGCAUACCAUCGGAUGUGCCCAGAUGGGAUUAGCUAGUAGGUGGGGUAAAGGCCCACAUAGGCGACGAUCCCUAGCUGGUCUGAGAGGAUGACAAGCCAACAUGGACUGGAGAAAGGGUCCAGACUCCUAGUGUGGGCAUCAGUGGGGAAUAUUGACCAAGGGGCGUAAGCCGUAGGCAGCCAUGCGGCGUGUAUGAAGAAGGCCUUGGGGUUGUAAAGUCCUUUCAGCGGGGAGGCGUUACCCGCAGAAGAAGCACCGGCUACCUCCGUGCAAGCGCCGCGGUAAUUC
RNAcentral lists this ribosomal RNA (405 nucleotides) under uncultured bacterium. Its description in RNAcentral is "partial 16S ribosomal RNA". It matches the Rfam family "Bacterial small subunit ribosomal RNA", at positions 30 to 526 of the family's 1533-position model. The record is from RNAcentral.